CAUUAAGUAAUCCGCCUGGGGAGUACGACCGCAAGGUUGAAACUCAAAAGAAUUGACGGGGGCCCGCACAAGCGGUGGAGCAUGUGGUUUAAUUCGAAGCUACGCGAAGAACCUUACCAGGUCUUGACAUCUUCUGCCAACCUAAGAGAUUAGGCGUUCCCUUCGGGGACAGAAUGACAGGUGGUGCAUGGUUGUCGUCAGCUCGUGUCGUGAGAUGUUGGGUUAAGUCCCGCAACGAGCGCAACCCUUAUUACUAGUUGCCAGCAUUCAGUUGGGCACUCUAGUGAGACUGCCGGUGACAAACCGGAGGAAGGUGGGGACGACGUCAAAUCAUCAUGCCCCUUAUGACCUGGGCUACACACGUGCUACAAUGGAUGGUACAACGAGUCGCGAAACCGCGAGGUUUAGCUAAUCUCUUAAAACCAUUCUCAGUUCGGACUGUAGGCUGCAACUCGCCUACACGAAGUCGGAAUCGCUAGUAAUCGCGGAUCAGCAUGCCGCGGUGAAUACGUUCCCGGGCCUUGUACACACCGCCCGUCACACCAUGAGAGUUUGUAACACCCAAAGCCGGUGGG
Molecule: ribosomal RNA, 575 nt
Filed under: Pediococcus acidilactici
Lineage: Bacteria; Bacillati; Bacillota; Bacilli; Lactobacillales; Lactobacillaceae
Description: bacterial SSU rRNA
Rfam family: Bacterial small subunit ribosomal RNA
Source: RNAcentral